Molecule: long non-coding RNA, 661 nt
Organism: Mus caroli (Ryukyu mouse)
Lineage: Eukaryota; Metazoa; Chordata; Mammalia; Rodentia; Muridae
Source: RefSeq, a predicted model, not a curated record
UGCUUCCUGGGUCUAAGGAAGCCAAAGGCACCACCUCCAGAGCCCAAACCAAUGCUUCCAUUGUAAAUGACUCCCUAUUGGGAGCCCAGAGAGUCUUCCGGUUCUUCUCAGCUUAUCCUCUGUACAGAUAUUUUAAUUAAUGUUUAAUCUUCCCGUGUUUGUGCCUGGAGGCAAAGCCUGUGAGGGGGCAGAGUUCUCAGUCGCAGCCUCAGACAAGCCGCAAGUAUAACAUUAAACACCCACAACUCAAAUGACCAGCCAGACCCUCGCCCUCCAUCCCGACUGCCAGGCGCACAGGGCCACGCCAUGCGCAUGCUCUGCAGUUGCUCCCUCUCAUCCUCCAACCAUUACAAUGGCCAAUCCGACGGAGGCCAAUCCGACGGAGGCCAAUCCGACCGAGGUAAUUUCUCCGCUGAGAUUCUCACUUCCCAGACUCUCCACUUUCUCUCCUAAGGAAGGGAAACCCUCAAACCCCUUCCAUUCUCUCCUCUCCUGACAGGGUACCUCCCUGGCCAGGCUCGCAGCCGAUAACUUGGUCUUUCUGGAAGCUGAUGGGUCAAGACAAGACAUCUAUAGAUUAAAUAAGGCCUCAUAUUUUCUGUAUUGCUCAAAAAGAAAGGAAGGGAAGAAGGAAGGGAGGAAGAAAAUGAUAAGAAAAAGA